CAGCCAUUGCACUUGUCUGCUCUAAAAUGGUCCUUGAAAUCCAGGGGGAUUCCAGCACCUCCCAGGGCAGCCGGGAGCUGCGAUUCCUGCCCGGGAGGGGAUGGAGAGCAGGGAUGGGAGUGGGAAAAAUGCAUGUUAUAUGGCUCUACGCAGGUAGGGAUGAGUUAUGGAGCUUGUGGAGGAUCCACCAGAACACAGGAGGGGAAUCUCCCAGGGAGCAGCAGAGGAGAAAUCCUGGUUGGAAAUGGACGGCCCCAAAAAUCCCUGCAAGACAUCAAUAAAGAGCGGCGCUGCAGCCGGCGUGGAGAGCAAGGAAAUGAUAUUACAGCUGGAAAAACCCCGCUCUGCAGCCACAGCAGAGCUAAUAAAAACACAACUGGAGAACAGAAGAGUUUCGGAGCCGCCGAAUAACAUCCAUAGGAUGAUUCAAUUACAGGGGAUUAGCGCCAGGCUGGCUGCAGAACCCAAAUUUCCAACCAAGGUUUGGAAGGAUGAGAACUUCAUAAACCCCAGCCCGCGGUGUGGGGGCUCCAAAGAACGCCAGAGGUGGAGCAGCAAAGCAGAAAGCAAAUAAACCCCUCAUUGGACUCACGAAACAAAUCAUGGGGAAUUUUGUUCUUUCUCCCCAGAGCAGGUUUCAGGCAGGGCAGCAUUUCUUUAGGUUAUCGAUUAGCAAUUAGAGAGGUGUUUUAGCUGCUUCUCUGCUCUGUCCGUUGCUCCCUCCAGAAUUUCAAUUCCACAAGAGCUUUUUUCCACCCAAGUGAGGGCCAGGAAAGCAGCACUGCCUGACCCCUGCCCUCAGGCUCACCAAAAAGCCUCGGGGAGGAGCGGGGAAGGUGGCACUCGGGAAAAAAGAAAAUUGGGAAAAGAAAAAAUAAAAGAGAAAAAUAGGAAAAGAAAAAAA
This 904-nucleotide long non-coding RNA is filed under the name Lonchura striata (white-rumped munia). Its description in RNAcentral is "domestica (Bengalese finch) lncRNA (ENSLSDG00000007201.1)". The record is from RNAcentral. Lineage: Eukaryota; Metazoa; Chordata; Aves; Passeriformes; Estrildidae.